AAAGAAACUAACAAGGAUUUUCUUAGUAGCGGCGAGCGAAAAGAAAUCAGUUCAGCACUAAGUCACUUUGUCUAUAUGGCAAAUGUGAGAUGCAGUGUAUGGAACAUCAAUAUUCUAGUAUGAGAAAUUAACGAUUUAAGUCCUUCUUAAAUGAGGCCAUUUACCCAAAGAGGGUGCCAGGCCCGUAUAACGUUAAUGAUUACUAGAUGGUGUUUCCAAAGAGUCGUGUUGCUUGAUAGUGCAGCACUAAGUGGGUGGUAAACUCCAUCUAAAACUAAAUAUAACCAUGAGACCGAUAGUAAACAAGUACCGUGAGGGAAAGUUGAAAAGAACUCUGAAUAGAGAGUUAAAUAGUACGUGAAACUGCUUAGAGGUUAAGCCCGAUGAACCUGAAUAUCCAUUAUGGAAAAUUCAUCAUUAGAUUUGUAAUAUUUAAACAAUAUUAUAAAAAUAGUGUGCAUUUUUUCCAUAUAAGGACAUUGUAAUCUAUUAGCAAAUAUAAUUUAUCAAAAGAUUAUAAAAAAUGGUUUAUUUAAAUUAAUGUGCUUGCAUGUUAACACAAAAUAAAUUUUAUAAAUUUGAUAAAAUGUUGAUAGAUUUAUAUGAAUACAGUGCGUUAAUUUUUUUAAAAUUAUAUAAUGGCAUGAUUAUCAUUGAUAUUUGUGUUUAUUAUAUGCACUUGUAUGAUUAACAAUGCGAAAGAUUCAGGAUACCUUCGGGACCCGUCUUGAAACACGGACCAAGGAGUCUAACAUAUGUGCAAGUUAUUGGGAUAUAAACCUAAUAGCGUAAUUAACUUGACUAUUAAUGGGAUUAGUUUUUUAACUAUUUUAGUUAAUAAACACAAUCCCGGGGCG
Molecule: ribosomal RNA, 857 nt
Filed under: Mycodrosophila poecilogastra
Lineage: Eukaryota; Metazoa; Arthropoda; Insecta; Diptera; Drosophilidae
Description: eukaryotic LSU rRNA
Rfam family: Eukaryotic large subunit ribosomal RNA
Source: RNAcentral